AGCGAAGUGGUUGAUGCCAUGCUUCCAGGAAAAGCCUCUAAGCUUCAGGUAACUAGGAACCGUACCCCAAACCGACACAGGUGGUUGGGUAGAGAAUACCAAGGCGCUUGAGAGAACUCUGCUGAAGGAACUAGGCAAAAUGGUACCGUAACUUCGGGAGAAGGUACGCUGCCGACGGUGAUAGGAUUUACUCCUUGAGCUAUUGGCAGCCACAGAAACCAGGCCCCUGCAACUGUUUAUUAAAAACAUAGCACUCUGCAAACACGAAAGUGGACGUAUAGGG
RNAcentral lists this ribosomal RNA (283 nucleotides) under Chaetoceros curvisetus. Its description in RNAcentral is "partial Bacterial large subunit ribosomal RNA". It matches the Rfam family "Bacterial large subunit ribosomal RNA", at positions 1584 to 1850 of the family's 2925-position model. The record is from RNAcentral. Lineage: Eukaryota; Bacillariophyta; Thalassiosirophyceae; Chaetocerotales; Chaetocerotaceae.